RNAcentral lists this ribosomal RNA (229 nucleotides) under uncultured bacterium. Its description in RNAcentral is "partial 16S ribosomal RNA". It matches the Rfam family "Bacterial small subunit ribosomal RNA", at positions 568 to 796 of the family's 1533-position model. The record is from RNAcentral.
CGUGUAGGCGGUCUGUUAAGUCGGCUGUGAAAGCCCAGGGCUCAACCCUGGAAGUGCGGUCGAAACUGGCAGACUUGAGUACGGGAGAGGGUGGCGGAAUUCCCGGUGUAGAGGUGAAAUUCGUAGAUAUCGGGAGGAACACCAGUGGCGAAGGCGGCCGCCUGGACCGAUACUGACGCUGAGACGCGAAAGCGUGGGUAGCAAACAGGAUUAGAUACCCUGGUAGUCC